RNAcentral lists this microRNA (21 nucleotides) under Zea mays. RNAcentral describes it as "microRNA miR-3153". Lineage: Eukaryota; Viridiplantae; Streptophyta; Magnoliopsida; Poales; Poaceae. The record is from RNAcentral.
UAUUUGUGGGUUUAUGGACAA